This 377-nucleotide ribosomal RNA is filed under the name uncultured organism. Its description in RNAcentral is "bacterial SSU rRNA". It matches the Rfam family "Bacterial small subunit ribosomal RNA", at positions 526 to 896 of the family's 1533-position model. The record is from RNAcentral.
CAGAGGAGCCAAGCGUUGUCCGGAUUGACUGGGCGUAAAGCGCACGCAGGCGGAUGCGCGCGUGGGGUGUGAAAUCUGGCCGCUUAACGGCCAGGCGCCAUCCCAUACGGCGCGUCUGGAGCCUUGCAGAGGUCGGUGGAAUUGCCGGUGUAGUGGUGAAAUGCGUAGAGAUCGGCAGGAACACCCAGGGGGAAACCAGCCGACUGGGCAAGUGCUGACGCUGAGGUGCGAGAGCGUGGGGAGCGAACCGGAUUAGAUACCCGGGUAGUCCACGCCGUAAACGAUGGCCACUCGGCCUUUGGGGGCGGAAUCUCCGUCCGUGGGGGCCUUAGCAAACGCGGGAAGUGGCCCGCCUGGGAACUACGAGCGCAAGCUUA